Nicotiana tabacum (common tobacco) is the source of this 3054-nucleotide non-coding RNA. NCBI's taxonomy places the organism in Eukaryota, Viridiplantae, Streptophyta, Magnoliopsida, Solanales, Solanaceae. The record is from RefSeq and is a predicted model, not a curated record.
CAAAAAAAAACCCUCAAACCGGCUCUCGCCCUCUCUCUCAUCCUUCGCCUCUCUUCACCGUAAACCACCUGCUGGAAAUCGCCUCCGCCGGCCGAAGAUAUCCAAAUACCCUAAAAUCACCAUUUUCCUUCUCCUCUCCUCCUCCUCCUCUAUUUCAUCCCAUCAAGAUCGAAACCCCAAUUUCCACCCUAUCACACCCCAUCAAAACCCUAGCCGCUACCUAGCCCUUUUCAACUUCCCGUUCGAUUCACUGGCUAUAACCGGCCGGAAUCAACAUCAUUCGAUAAAUCUUGAUCGAGUGAUGUCAAUUCCAAUGUGUUUCAUUUAAGUUUCAUGCCGGGCAUCAGUCCCAGUUUAACUCGAGGUUUUGAGUAGGUAUCGUCCGGUUCCACCUUCUUCUAAUUUCUUCCUUCUAUUCCCAUCACUCCAGUCGUGUGUGUAGGUUAAUUUUCUUAUUUUCAGCACAUUAUUGGAUAUGCUUACAUGUUAGUAGUUCUCUUUUCUGUGUGGUAGUGUAUCACUCCCAUGUUUAGUUUUGAAUUGAUUGUUAGUUUGUUAGGUUUUGAAUUCCGAUAUUGUUUGUUGUGCAUGUUUAGUCUUUAAGAGUUUUCUUUUUUGGCAAUCCACUAGGCAAAUACCUAGGGCUAUAUUUUAUAUAUAAAAAAGGAAAAAUAAGAAAACGGAGUAAUGUAGUGUCUUACAAUAUGUUGAGCCAUAACCUAUGUGAAUUACAUAGUCCCUAGUACCAAAGAUGAGCACUGGAUACUAAACUAUGGUAGUACUUUUUGAACUAAUUAAGAAAUGAUAAUGAUAAUGAAAUCUUCUUAUGUAGUAAUAAUUAGAUUUAUAAACUAGCCAUAUGAGUGCAGCGAUAACAUCAAUUAUCCAUAGUGCGCAGCUCUGUCGCGUGGGAAUUCUUCCUUGCCUAGUGUAAGCAUAUUGUUGCGCUAGUAGUAUGCAACCUUGUAUUGAUGAGAUCACGAUUCUUCGCUUAACAUGUCCUCCCUGUAUCCAGCAAUUAAUGUUCAUGGUGACAAUGCCUUCUUGCGUCCAGAAUUCGCUCAUGAUCCUUGCCUUUGAGUGUUGAUCCCCUUCCAGAACACCUUCCUUAUGUGUCAUAGGUGUUGUUGAUAAUAAGCAGCUCCUUGUUGUCCAGUUCUUGUACCCCAUAUAAUCCAUUGAAACAUAGUGCCUCGUCUAUAUGAAUCUGGGCAGUGCUAUGAUUAUGGUGUCUUGUGUCCAGAAUUUUAUCACGAAACUUGCCUUUAAGUGUGAAUCCUCUCCCAGAGCAUCUUCCUUGCAUGUCAUUAGUGUUGUUGACGUAAAGCAGCUCGUUGAUGUCCAACUCAUGUAACCUGUGCAAUCCAUUGAAAUACACUGCCUCGUCCAUGGAAAUCUGAGCAGUGUUUGCUUCUUGUGUUUGUUUCUAUCCUUAGCCGAUUGUAUUUUACAAGUGUUUGCUAGGUUGUUUACGUUACCUGACCUAAUAGAACUAAGCCAAAGUUCUCCAUUAAAGUCGUAACAACCCAGCUGCUCUAUUCGAUUCUCCAGCAUCAUACUUAUGCCUACCCCUACUUCCCUCCCAUUGGAAUGAGUACAUAGUACUAAUACACCAAAUGGGAGUUGUUCAAGGUAUAAGGCAUGAUUAGAAUAGUGUUUCCUGGAAAAAAAAGACUAGGUUAGUAAAAAAUAUGGUUACCAUACUCUCCUCCAUAAGGACUUGAGUAUGAUGAUCCAAAUUAUUUCCAGCAUUCCCCUUUCUCCUGCUACUCCUUUCCUCCUCACCUCCUAACUUCUUGCGACAUUUACUCUUAGAUAUGGGCAUUGUAACUUAUCACUAUUCACAAUACUUCUCCCUUUGACAUCCAACUCUCCAAAACUGUUGCAUUCCAUAGGAUCAGUAUCUAGAGCAAAGUUGGCAAUGUGAUCUGCCUACUGGUUAAGUUGGGCAGUAUCUUUAAGAGUUUUUGAUUUUGUUUUUAACAGUUUAAUUGUUGUCUAAAUACUAGCUUAAUUACUUGUUUAAUUCAUAAAUCCUAUUUCAUAAUUAGGGUAGUUUAGUUUGGGACUGUUAGGGAGUUAAUGGAAAGAAAAGAAAGAGAGAGUAAAAACAGGGGCAAAGAGUGUAAUUAACAGGUUUUUAAAGGGUGUGUUGGGAAUUAAUUCAGGGAAUAUAUUUUCAGAAGCUUCUGGGAUUGUGUAGAAAAAGGGUCAAUUUGCAAAAAAAGGAAGUAUAGUACAUGCUAAGUAUUUGGGGGUGAGGGGGUAAAUAAUUAAAAGAGGAGGGAUGUAAAAGAAGGAAAAUAACUGAAAAGGAAUAUAUGCAUUUUUUAUAUAACAGACCCAUUCUGCACUCAUCUGGGAACACCUUCACUGCCAAUUCAUUCUCAUCUACACUCGCUCAUACACUCUCUCUCGUCUGCACCAAUUCACUCUCUUUCUCUCACCUUCACACACGGAAAACACAUUAGUAGCUAGAAUUUCUGGAAAUUCAAAAAUUCCAAAUCUGUAGAAAAACCAAAAGCUCCAAAAAACACAAAAGAAAAAUCUCAAAGUGAUUUCGAGGUCUAUUAGAAUAGUUCAAUAAUUUCAGGGUUUUCAAGUUGCUGUUGGAUUAACAAUUGAAACUGUUGAUGUACUUCUGCUGUUUUGCUGUCCAUUUGUAGCUGAAUUUUAUCAUUUCUUCUUUUCAGACAUUUAUUUGGUCUUCGAUUGUUGUUUAGCUUCAUUCCUCGUCUAAAACAAUGACUCAUGUCUAAAGUGAUCUCAACGGGUUAAACUAAUUUCAAUUAUUGUUUACCUGUUGGAUUAUUGUUGGUUGCUUCUUUGCAAGCUGAAGAUCUGUUGGAGAAAUGAAUACCCAUGGCCAAGGAAAGCUAUUUUCAUUGGAAUAUUAGUGCAAUCGAAUCACGGAUUUAAAUUAGCUAGUUGAGAUCAUGUACUUCAUGUUCUAAUUAGUGACAUGUAUAAUCAAUUUUAAAUUCUUUACUAAUGUAAUUAACUCUAUCUUCUAUUAGGAUUUGUGUUGUAAUAUGAUCAAUUUUGUGCUGCUGA